Non-coding RNA from Megalopta genalis, 575 nucleotides. NCBI's taxonomy places the organism in Eukaryota, Metazoa, Arthropoda, Insecta, Hymenoptera, Halictidae. The record is from RefSeq and is a predicted model, not a curated record.
AAUAAUAAUAAUAGUAAUAUUCUGAAAAUUAGAAAUCAUACCAAUUGUAUAAAUAUCCAAUAUACUCAAGUUUACUUUCUGUAAUCACAAAAUAACUCACUGUUUACAAAGAUAAACUUAUCGCUGCACGGCGCAUGCGCUUUGUUUUGUUUUGCAACCACUAUGAUACACAACACUCCCUUCUUGCACUUCUGCACUCGUGACGACUGACUACAAUUUGUCGUAUCAUUUUCAUGAAUUUAUAUAAAGGAUAUUGUUUCAUAUAUUUUACGAUUUAGUUGUGAAAUAUAUCAAACACUUGUUUCUCUACUUUUAUAGUUGAGUUCAAUAUUUAGUGUUGUAAACUUGCAAAGAUUACUGUAUAUUUAUAGACAGUGAGUUAUUUUGUGAAGACAGAAAGUAAAGUUGUGUGUGUGGGUGUAUUGGAUAUUUAUACAAUUGUAAAACAUAUACUGAAAAAUGAGCAAUUCAGAAUCGGAAUAUGAAUACGCAAAUUUGUCGGAAAGCGGCUCAGAAGAAAGUGACAAUUGUCAUCAAAAUCCAAAAUUGCAAUAAAAAUUUUGAUUAUUUUUGUA